RNAcentral lists this ribosomal RNA (535 nucleotides) under Latilactobacillus curvatus. Its description in RNAcentral is "bacterial SSU rRNA". It matches the Rfam family "Bacterial small subunit ribosomal RNA", at positions 120 to 642 of the family's 1533-position model. The record is from RNAcentral. Lineage: Bacteria; Bacillati; Bacillota; Bacilli; Lactobacillales; Lactobacillaceae.
GGUAACUUGCCCUAAAGGGGGGGAUAACAUUUGGAAACAGUUGGUAAUACCGCAUAAAACCUAGCACCGCAUGGUGCAAGGUUGAAAGAUGGUUUCGGCUAUCACUUUUGGAUGGACCCGCGGCGCAUUAGUUAGUUGGUGAGGUAAAGGCUCACCAAGACCGUGAUGUAUAGCCGGCCUGAGAGGGUAAUUGGCCACACUGGGAUUGAGACACGGCCCAGACUCCUACGGGAGGCAGCAGUAGGGAAUUUUCCACAAUGGACGAAAGUUUGAUGGAGCAACGCCGCGUGAGUGAAGAAGGUUUUCGGAUCGUAAAACUCUGUUGUUGGAGAAGAACGUAUUUGAUAGUAACUGAUCAGGUAGUGACGGUAUCCAACCAGAAAGCCACGGCUAAUUACGUGCCAGCAGCCGCGGUAAUACGUAGGUGGCAAGCGUUGUCCGGAUUUAUUGGGCGUAAAGCGAGCGCAGGCGGUUUCUUAAGUCUGAUGUGAAAGCCUUCGGCUCAACCGAAGAAGUGCAUCGGAACUGGGAAACU